UCUAGAACUCGAGAUAUGGGCUGAACACUAAACAGUGUUUUGACUGCAGGACAAAUUCCAACUUCUCCGUUGUUGCUACCAUUGGAACUCGAAAAUGACACUUUUAAAUCUUGGACUCUUCAUGAAAGUUUUAGGCCUAUGUCUUAGCUUUCCAUA
Molecule: non-coding RNA, 156 nt
Organism: Populus trichocarpa (black cottonwood)
Lineage: Eukaryota; Viridiplantae; Streptophyta; Magnoliopsida; Malpighiales; Salicaceae
Source: Rfam